CCCUAAGGACGAAGACACCACGGGAAACUGUGGAUAAUCUGCGAUAGGAAAUUCGGCCUGGAACGGUGUCUUUCCAAAAACCGGCUCGCCGUGAGACACGGGCCUUAGGAUGAGGCUGCGGACGAUUAUGCUUGAUGGCGGUGUAAAGGACCACCAUGGCGACGAUCGGUAUGGGCGAUGGAAGUCGGAGCCCAGAGUCUGCUACUGAGACAAGGAGCCGAGCUUUACGAAGCUUAGCGGUCGCCAAAACUCGCCAAUGCACGAAAGUGUGAGUGGGCUACUCCAAGUGUCAUUCUUACGGAUGACUGUCGCUCAGUCUUACACGCCGAGAAAGGAAGGAGAGGGCAAGGCUGGUGCCACCCGCCGCGGUAAAACCAGCUCUUCGAGUGGUCAGGACGUAUAUUGGGUCUAAAG
Molecule: ribosomal RNA, 414 nt
Filed under: uncultured archaeon
Lineage: Archaea
Description: bacterial SSU rRNA
Rfam family: Archaeal small subunit ribosomal RNA
Source: RNAcentral